GAUGAACGCUGGCGGCGUGCCUAAUACAUGCAAGUCGAGCGAACGGACGAGAAGCUUGCUUCUCUGAUGUUAGCGGCGGACGGGUGAGUAACACGUGGAUAACCUACCUAUAAGACUGGGAUAACUUCGGGAAACCGGAGCUAAUACCGGAUAAUAUUUUGAACCGCAUGGUUCAAAAGUGAAAGACGGUCUUGCUGUCACUUAUAGAUGGAUCCGCGCUGCAUUAGCUAGUUGGUAAGGUAACGGCUUACCAAGGCAACGAUGCAUAGCCGACCUGAGAGGGUGAUCGGCCACACUGGAACUGAGACACGGUCCAGACUCCUACGGGAGGCAGCAGUAGGGAAUCUUCCGCAAUGGGCGAAAGCCUGACGGAGCAACGCCGCGUGAGUGAUGAAGGUCUUCGGAUCGUAAAACUCUGUUAUUAGGGAAGAACAUAUGUGUAAGUAACCGUGCACAUCUUGACGGUACCUAAUCAGAAAGCAACGGCUAACUACGUG
This 497-nucleotide ribosomal RNA is filed under the name uncultured bacterium. Its description in RNAcentral is "partial 16S ribosomal RNA". It matches the Rfam family "Bacterial small subunit ribosomal RNA", at positions 28 to 507 of the family's 1533-position model. The record is from RNAcentral.